This 8124-nucleotide long non-coding RNA is filed under the name Eucalyptus grandis. Its description in RNAcentral is "long non-coding RNA (EGRA_LNC002384)". Lineage: Eukaryota; Viridiplantae; Streptophyta; Magnoliopsida; Myrtales; Myrtaceae. The record is from RNAcentral.
ACAUGUGUUUCUCGGGCGUCGUUUUUGCCAAUGACAUACCGAUCACCGACACCGUGCGUUCUUUAAGGCGCCGUUUUCACCAGUGAUAACCUUGAUCACCGAACCACGUGUCCUUUCAAGGGCGCCGUUUUCGCCAAGGUGACAUCGGCUAUAGACAACAUCAUGCGUUCUUUAAGGCGCCGUUUUCACCAGUGAUAUUCCCAUAACCACCGAACCACGUUUGUCUAUAAGUCAUUUACGUGCGUUCUUUAAGGCGCCGUUUUCGCCAGUGAUACUUCCAAUCACCGAACCACGUAUAUCCAAUAACAUCGUACCUGAUUGGUCUCAGCCAAUAACAUUCUCAGUUAGCUCUCACCAUUCUCCCUACUAUAUAGCCCAUCAACGUACUGGCGCUAUAUACCCAUACUCAGCCAUCCAUCAAUCAAAUAUUCAAUAACAAACAAAUUAGGACAAUUCCUAAAAUUCCACAAUAAAUUCAAUUCCACACAACGUAGAGCUCAAAUAAAUAAACGGUCUGCACCACGACAAUCAGCACGAAAUUUCGGUCAUCGGCCAUCAAAAUCUUAAUUUCCGAAAAAUAAAUAAAUAAUUAUUAAUUUCGAAAAUUAAAUAAUUAUUAUUAAAAAUUCAAUUUAGCUCAAAAUAAAGCCCGAUUACAUAAACGGACUUCACCACGGUCAUCAGCAUAAUUUUCCGGUUCCAAGCCAUCUCAGUUGAAUUUCCGGAAAAUAAAUAAAUAAAUAAAUAAUUUCGAAUAUUAAAUAAUUAAUAUUAAAAAUCCCNNNNNNNNNNNNNNNNNNNNNNNNNNNNNNNNNNNNNNNNNNNNNNNNNNNNNNNNNNNNNNNNNNNNNNNNNNNNNNNNNNNNNNNNNNNNNNNNNNNNUAUCCCGGUUCCAGACCAUCUCACGUUGAAUUUUCGGAAAAUAAAUAAUUAUUUAAUUUAAUUCCGAAAAUUAAUAUUUAAAUACAAAAAAAAUCCACUUAGGCCCGAAAAGCCUAAUUGGAGCCCACUAAGGGUCGGGAAAAUCCUGAGGCACUUCCAAUAAUUAGUAGACCACGUCUACUUGCUGAUUACACAAUCAAUUUAUCUAAAUCGCAUCACAAUUGACUAAUAAUUGCUAAUUUACUCUAAUCUAACAACCUAAACAUAAUUAAUUAAAUCUAAACCAACCUUAAGCAUAAUUAGCCAACUAAUCCAGGAUUAGUGAGAUUACUCACCAAAUCGCGCACAAAUCGGAUCAAUCCGACGGCGGCGACGCGAGGAACGAUUGUUCCCAAAGCACGGCUCGGGUUCGGGGCCGGGAAACGGUCCAAAAGCGGGCCCGAAGUGCUGGAAACCCACUUCGUGGGUCUGCUGGUUUAGCUGCAAAACAGAGAGAAAGAGAGAGGGUUGGGGGCGGCAAGAGGUCGGGAGAGUAGGCGGGGCUCCGGUGAGGCCGGACGGCGGCUCCGGCGGCCUGCUCAGCCGCUCACGGUGGCUGAACAGAGACCGAACGGGAGCUGGGUCGCACGGCAGGGACGGCAAGCGCAGGCGACGCACGGGUGGCGAACGGCGGACGUGCGGCGUGCGCGGGCGUGCGGUGCGGCGGCGGGACAGGCGGCGAUGGUGGCUGGCUUCUGCUUCCGAUCUCCUGCAGCUUCUGGUUCGGUUUGCUCAGAGAAGAACGAAGAAGAAGAAGAAGGUAACGUGAGGGAGGAGGCAAGAAGAGAGAGAAGAGAUAAGGGAGAGAAGUUUUGACUAGUCAAAGAGGAGAGAGAAGAGAAAGCAAAAAUUGAAUUUGGCAAGGGUGUGCUCGGUGGGUGGGGAGGCUACGCACGAAGGAGAGAGGAGAAGAGAGAGAGAGGAAGAAAAAGAGAGAAAAGGGAGAGAGAGAAAAAGAAUUUAAAAUAAUAACAUUAUUCUUAUUUUUCUUUUUCUCUUUCCCUUUCCCUUUCUAUUUUCUUUUGAUCUUCGAUUUUUCCUCCGAUAAUUUCUUUCUUGAAAUUUCGGACUCGGCAAUAAAUUGAUAGACGAUGAGACGGUCCUAAAAAUGAAUUGUGACAUGCUCGAAUAUUCGAUUCCUGAAACCAAUUUCAAUUUCAUGGUUAGAAUCAAUCAAACGCGAUUUUAGUCCAAUCCAACCAAUUGAGUAGCUUUUAGGGAUUUUACCGCGGAUACAUCCCUUAACGGCUUCACCCAAUAGGUUAGUUAACUCGUGAGUGAUCAGCUCAGAGAAAAAGGACCAUAAGCACGUUGACGACAUGCCCAUUUCACUUUAUCAAAACGGGGUCGAAUUUCAGGAUGUCACAACUCUUCCCCUCUUAUAAAAAUUUCGUCCUCGAAAUUUAAACCAUUAUACACUUUGCUAAAAAAGGCGGGGGUAUAAUUGUCUCAUCGACUCUUCAAUCUCCCAAGUCGCUCCUUCAGCACCGUGGUGUUGUUAGACCACUUUGACUAACGGAAUGGUCUUUGUACGCAGAACUUGCUCUUUGCGAUCGACAAUCUGAGCCGGGCUUUCGACGUAUGACACACGGUCAUCCACGUCCAAUUCCUCGAAAUUGAGCACGUGGGUCGGGUCAGGCUCGUACUACCUUAACAUCGACACGUGAAAGACGUCAUGCACUUGCGCCAAACAUGGCGGCAACACAAGACGAUACCUAGGUUUCCGAUUCUUUCAAGAAUCUCAAACGGACCUACGUACCUCGGACUCAACUUGCCUUUCUUACCAAAGCACGAAGUUCCCCUCAUUGGUGACACUUUCAGAAACAUGUGAUCACCAACUUGGAAUUCCAAAGACCUUCGAUGAUUAUCUGCAUAACUUUUCUGCCUGCUUUGCGCUGUCUUUAAUCUGUCUCUGAUCACUGCCACGGUAUCAACUGAUCGCUGAACCAACUCUGGGCCCGAUAUCUUCCUUUCUUCGACUUCAUCCCAACAUAUUGGAGUUCUGCACGCUCUGCCAUACAACGCUUCAAAUGGAGCCAUCUUGAUACUCUGCCGAUAACUGUUGUUGUAGGCGAAUUCCACCAGAUGAAGCUGAUCUUCCCAACUUCUUUUGAAGUCUAUUACACACGCUCUCAGCAUGUCUUCAAGAGUCUGAAUUGCCCUUUCAGACUGGCCAUCCAUCUGAGGAUGAUACGCCGUACUGUACUGAAGCUUUGUACCUAAAGCACUUUGCAAGCUCUUCCAAAAAGCAGCAGUAAACCUCGGGUCUCUAUCAGAUGUUAUCGUAACCGGCACUCCAUGCAUACGAACCACCUGACGCACAUACAGGUCUGCGUGUCUAUCCAGACUCAAGUCCUUUCGAACUGCAAUGAAGUGAGCCGACUUUGUCAGCCUGUCGACUACUACCCAAAUUGAAUCAUUCCCCUCUACUCCUUGGUAGCCCAGUUACGAAGUCCAUCGUGAUAUGCUCCCAUUUCCACUAUGGGAUCGCGAGAGAUUGUAGGAAUCCUCUCGGCUUGCAAUGCUGAGCUUUUACUUGCUGACAAGUCAAACAUUUAGCUACAUGCUUGGCAAUGCUCGCCUUCAUACCUAACCACCAGUAAUGUUGAUGUAGAUUCCGAUACAUUUUAAUACUUCUAGGAUGAACGCUAUAAUUGCUACGAUGUGCUUCAGAUAAAAUUUCUUCUCUAAGCUCUACAUCGUCAAGUACAACCAAACGUCCACGAAGCCUCAGUACCCUAUCAUCAGAAACUUGAAAAUCAGCUUUUCUUUUGUCAGUAUCCUCUUGAAGAAUUCUCUGUACGUCUGGAUCGAUCGGUUGGGGUUGCUUGAUUCUGACCUGGACAUCCGGUUCAAUUCUGAGGGUGGCCAUAAGACUCGAGAGGUGGCCUACCUCGAAUUUGAAUUCCGAAUCCCGAGCUCUCUCGAUCAGGUUCCACUCCUUAACCAAGAUCCGUGCCACUAAAGACUUCCGACUCAAUGCAUCGGUGACCUUGUUCGCCUUUCCCGGGUGAUAUAGAAUGUCACAGUCGUAAUCUUUCAGCAAUUCCAUCCAUCACCGUUGUCUCAUGUUCAACUCCUUCUGAGAGAACAAAUACUUGAGACUCUGAUGGUCCGUGAAGAUCUUAAACUUUUCUCCGCACAAGUAGUGCCUCCAAAUCUUCAACGCAAAUAUGAUGGCUGCGAGUUCUAAGUCAUGCGUCGGGUAAUUCAAUUCAUAAGGUCUCAACUGCCGGGAAGCGUAUGCAACAACUCUGCCAUGUUGCAUCAGCGCGCAACCUAAUCCCCUGAAUGACGCAUCAUUAUAGAUCUCGAAUCCUCCAGGACCAGAUGGAAUUGUCAGCACAGGUGCGGUAGUCAGCUUUUCCUUCAGCUCUUGGAAACUACGCUCGCACUUGUCUGACCAUACAAAUUUCUCUUUUUUCUUCAGGAGCUUUGUCAGAGGCGACGCUAUCGAUGAGAGCCCUUCCACAAACUGUCUGAAAUAACCUGCUAACCCCAGGAAACUUCUGAUUUCUGUCACUGAUGUCGGUCUUGGUCCACUGAUAACUGAUUCGAUCUUGACCAGAUUCAUGGAGAGCAUUACUCUCAGAUGAUUCUCAUAUUCUUCAUUACUUCUCGAAUAGACCAAGAUGUCAUCAAUGAACACUACUACAAACUGAUCCAUAUAUUCCUUGAACACUCUGUACAUCAUAUCCAUGACGGCAACUGGAGUGUUCACCAAGCCAAACAAUCUUACAAUACUCUCAUAAAGACCAUAUCAAGUACGAACAGCUGUCUUUUGUACAACCUCAUUCCUGGUUCAUAACUGACGACUUCAUAAUCUCAAGUCGACCUUUAAAACAUCGAUACUCAUUAUAACUAGUCACACCAUUCGUUGAUCUUUGGCAAAGAACACUUGUCCUUGAUCUUCACUUAAUUGAGUGGACUAUGGUCGAUGCACACUCGCAACAACCAUCUUUCUUCUUCUCACAAACAAAACUGAUGUUUCCCAAAAGUGAUGCACCGAUAUACAAGAAUUCCUCAUUCAUCAAUCUUCACAUCUGCAUCUUCAAUUCUACCACUUCAAACAACAACAGCUGGUAAGAAGCCUUCGAGAGUGGCUCUAUCCUGGUGCUAUCUCCAUUGCAAUUUCAAUCUCUUUCUGGCGGUAACCCAAGCAAUUCCUUUGGAACCAUCUUAGAAAUUUUUUUUUUUUUUUUAUCACGGCCACCUUCUUCUCAUUCUAUUUCUCAACUGACACAUCCACUACAAUUGUCAAAUCAAUCUUGGCAACCUCCGUCUAACAAACGGAUUGUCUUUAGCCAACGAGAUUAAUGAAAUCAAAAUUCUUUUCGACUCCCAAUAACCUCGACACUUUAACAUGCUAAUGGAUUAAAUUGGAUUAUUCCAUGACCAAGAUUCAUUAUCACAAGAUGCUCCAUAAGCCCACACUAUUCAUGUGACGUCAAACUCACACCUCAGCAACUAGUCAAGCACAACUAUUGCUAGUGAUUCCCUUCUCUUUCACUUUUACUUCAACAAUUUAAGUUCUACCAACUCAGCACAAAACUCUGCUACGAUGUUCUGAUAAGAUCACCUCCAACACAUUCUUUCUCUAAUCGGUGCAAGAUCAAUUAUACUCUCAUUCCUUUCGCCAUCCUAGCGGCGUUCUGCCGCAGUAGCUAUGCCUAUGCUACCUUUGACUUCCACUGACAGUCCUUCACUUGAUGGCCAUGCUGGUCAUCAUCACAACAGGUCCUCGUCAUACUCGGACACUGGAUUUAUCCAUACUUCCUUCUAAAAUUCUGACAUCUAUCCGGUGCAUCUUCUAUCUUCUACUAGGCGAAAGCAUGCACUCUUUCUGGUUGCCCCAUCAUUCUGCUAGGACCACUCCUGACCAGAUAUCCCCUUUAGCUAUACUCCAAACAAAUUCGCGUCCUUGGAAGGACAUAAUGCCGAUCUCCAUCAUCACGUCCGAAAACAACCUGAUCUAUUGGACUCGGUGCUGACUUGACUAUCCCACCCUUCCUCGUGAGUGGAAUAGAAUGCUUUUCUCUCGACCUCGGUCUUUUUCCUGACCGAUUUCCAUUUCUGCCUGAACUGGAUCUAUACCUCAACUCGAAUGCAAUGACUUGCUCCCGGAUCACAUCUCCACUCUGAAUCUCAGCACGUGAGGUGACAACUGUGAUUGCGGCACUGACGGCGGCUCAAUCUUAAGCCUGCUGGCUCUUCCAGUUCCCAAUGAACACUAGCAUCAGAACGAUCCUAUCGAACUUAGGAUCAUUUGACGCUGCUACACUAGUACCAACUUGUAGUGGUACUCUUACACUCGAGCUGGCCAGAGCCAACACUCUGCCACAACCUCCUCGGGUACUGACCUUUGUCAGUGCAUCAUCCCGAGUCACAGAGGACAUUGUCCUCUCACUAGGAGUUCUCAACUCCUGCUCGCUCAUGGUUCAGUCUUACACUGCAACCCGUCCUUCACACCCACACUGGAUUAGAAGGUGAGCGAUCCACACACAACAAACAAUUCUAGCAUCCAGCUAACACAGACAUGCACCAGCAUGAAUUUAAAGGCCUUUCCUACUAACUAUCCCAUGGUCAACGCUCCUUAUCACUCCAAUCUUCAACUUCGCUCUGAUACCACUUAAACUGGAUGUCACGCCCCGAUCCUCGGGCACGCGCACAUCCUUCACUCUUGGUCGAUUUUAUAAUGCGAUAUCCCAGGACAAUGUAUCGCCGACCCUUUCAUUUAUUAAGCACAUGCGGAAGUAGUUAAAAUCCCCAUACAAUAAAACAAUGGGAUAGAAAAGCAUGACCAUAUUUUUCAUAUUGAAAUUUAUAACCAAACUUUUAUACAAAACACAAAUCACUUCAUAACUAUUCACAUCAAAAUGAAUUCUCAAAAGAAGAUAGACUCUUAGCCCAUCCAGGCCAUACUCAAGGCCCCUCUCGGGAUUAUCUUCUUCUUCCAAAAUCCUUCUACUCAGGUUUCACCUCCGAGUUCUCCUUCUCAAAUUCCUCCUCAGCUCCUCAACGGGGUCCUGAAAUGUUUUUCCCCAAACUGGGAUGAGACUACGUCUCAGCGAGUUCUACCCCACUAAGCCCGAUUAGUAAACCACUAUACUAUAGGCUGUCUAUACACGCACAGGGCAGAAGACGUACCUUGGCAUCAGAUCCCACCUACAAGUCAGUACAAUUCAUAAUAGGCACCCAAGCAAUCAUAUCACCGAUCGAAGCAUCGAUCAAAUCGACUUAGUCGAUUACAAGCCAAUAAGACCACUCACGGUCAUUCCCAUUCAAUCAAUCAAUUCACAACAUCAGAUCAAAACAAUGAUCAAUCGACCUAGUUGAUUACAUGCCAACAAGACCACUCACGGUCAUUCCCAUUCAAUCAAUCAAUUCACAACAUCAGAUCAAAACAAUGAUCAAUCGACCUAGUCGAUUACAUGCCAACAAGACCACUCACGGUCAUUCCCAUUCAAUCAAUCAAUUCACAACAUCAGAUCAAAACAAUGAUCAAUCGACCUAGUCGAUUACAUGUCAUUCGAAUGACAUACCGAUCACCGACACCGUGCGUUCUUUAAGGCGCCGUUUUCACCAGUGAUAACCUUGAUCACCGAACCACGUGUCCUUUCAAGGGCGCCGUUUUCGCCAAGGUGACAUCGGCUAUAGACAACAUCAUGCGUUCUUUAAGGCGCCGUUUUCACCAGUGAUAUUCCCAUAACCACCGAACCCCGUUUGUCUAUAAGUCAUUUACGUGCGUUCUUUAAGGCGCCGUUUUCGCCAGUGAUACUUCCAAUCACCGAACCACGUAUAUCCAAUAACAUCGUACCUGAUUGGUCUCAGCCAAUAACAUUCUCAGUUAGCUCUCACCAUUCUCCCUACUAUAUAGCCCAUCAACGUACUGGCGCUAUAUACCCAUACUCAGCCAUCCAUCAAUCAAAUAUUCAAUAACAAACAAUUUAGGACAAUUCCUAAAAUUCCACAAUAAAUUCAAUUCCACACAACGUAGAGCUCAAAUAAAUAAACGGUCUGCACCACGACAAUCAGCACGAAAUUUCGGUCAUCGGCCAUCAAAAUCUUAAUUUCCGAAAAAUAAAUAAAUAAUUAUUAAUUUCGAAAAUUAAAUAAUUAUUAUUAAAAAUUCAAUUUAGCUCAAAAUAAAGCCCGAUUACAUAAACGGACUUCACCACGGUCAUCAGCAUAAUUUUCCGGUUC